RNAcentral lists this ribosomal RNA (401 nucleotides) under uncultured soil bacterium. Its description in RNAcentral is "bacterial SSU rRNA". It matches the Rfam family "Bacterial small subunit ribosomal RNA", at positions 975 to 1375 of the family's 1533-position model. The record is from RNAcentral.
CAGGUCUUGACAUCCCGCUGCCCGGUCUAGAGAUAGAUCUUUCCCUUCGGGGACAGCGGUGACAGGUGGUGCAUGGUUGUCGUCAGCUCGUGUCGUGAGAUGUUGGGUUAAGUCCCGUAACGAGCGCAACCCUUGAUCUUAGUUGCCAGCAUUUAGUUGGGCACUCUAAGGUGACUGCCGGUGAUAAACCGGAGGAAGGUGGGGAUGACGUCAAAUCAUCAUGCCCCUUAUGACCUGGGCUACACACGUGCUACAAUGGAUGAUACAGAGGGUUGCCAAGCCGCAAGGUGGAGCCAAUCCCAUAAAAUCAUUCCCAGUUCGGAUUGCAGGCUGCAACUCGCCUGCAUGAAGCCGGAAUCGCUAGUAAUCGUGGAUCAGCAUGCCACGGUGAAUACGUUCCC